AACGAACGCUGGCGGCAUGCCUAACACAUGCAAGUCGAACGAGACCUUCGGGUCUAGUGGCGCACGGGUGCGUCACGCGUGGGAACCUGCACUUAGGUUCGGAAUAACUCCCCGAAAGGGGUGCUAAUACCGGAUAAUGUCUUCGGACCAAAGAUUUAUCGCCUUUGGAUGGGCACGCGUUGGAUUAGCUCGUUGGUAGGGUAAAAGCCUACCAAGGCGACGAUCAAUAGCUGGUCUGAGAGGAUGAUCAGCCACACUGGGACUGAGACACGGCCCAGACUCCUACGGGAGGCAGCAGUGGGGAAUAUUGGACAAUGGGCGAAAGCCUGAUCCUGCAAGGCCGCGUGAGUGAUGAAGGCCUUAGGGUUGUAAAGCGCUUUUACCCGGGAUGAUAAUGACAGUACCGGGAGAAUAAGCUCCGGCUAACUCCGUG
Molecule: ribosomal RNA, 433 nt
Filed under: uncultured bacterium
Lineage: Bacteria
Description: partial 16S ribosomal RNA
Rfam family: Bacterial small subunit ribosomal RNA
Source: RNAcentral